RNAcentral lists this ribosomal RNA (271 nucleotides) under uncultured Staphylococcus sp. Its description in RNAcentral is "partial 16S ribosomal RNA". It matches the Rfam family "Bacterial small subunit ribosomal RNA", at positions 90 to 355 of the family's 1533-position model. The record is from RNAcentral. Lineage: Bacteria; Bacillati; Bacillota; Bacilli; Caryophanales; Staphylococcaceae.
CGUUAGCGGCGGACGGGUGAGUAACACGUGGGUAACCUACCUAUAAGACUGGGAUAACUUCGGGAAACCGGAGCUAAUACCGGAUAAUAUUUCGAACCGCAUGGUUCGAUAGUGAAAGAUGGUUUUGCUAUCACUUAUAGAUGGACCUGCGCCGUAUUAGCUAGUUGGUAAGGUAACGGCUUACCAAGGCGACGAUACGUAGCCGACCUGAGAGGGUGAUCGGCCACACUGGAACUGAGACACGGUCCAGACUCCUACGGAGGCAGCAGUU